CAGUAGCCGCGGGAAUACGGAGGGUGCAAGCGUUAAUCGGAAUUACUGGGCGUAAAGCGCACGCAGGCGGUUGUAUAAGACAGGUGUGAAAGCCCCGGGCUUAACCUGGGAACUGCGCUUGUGACUGCACAGCUAGAGUAUUGCAGAGGGGGGUGGAAUUCCACGUGUAGCAGUGAAAUGCGUAGAGAUCUGGAGGAACACCGAUGGCGAAGGCAGCCCCCUGGGCAAAUACUGACGCUCAUGCACGAAAGCGUGGGGAGCAAACAGGAUUAGAUACCCCAGUAGUCCCUGUCUCUUAUAC
RNAcentral lists this ribosomal RNA (301 nucleotides) under uncultured bacterium. Its description in RNAcentral is "partial 16S ribosomal RNA". It matches the Rfam family "Bacterial small subunit ribosomal RNA", at positions 509 to 807 of the family's 1533-position model. The record is from RNAcentral.